GAAACAAAAAGAAAGAAAGAAAACCAGGUUUCAGGCGCUUUCCCUCUUCUUCUCGGUGUCUCUCUCUCUCUUUGUUGCUCUCAUUCUCUCCCCUGCCCCACACGGCCUCUCUCACUCUGUCUCUUCUCAUUUGUCGCUUCUGGUUAGUGUUUAAUUCUCAUCAUCCCUCACAAUGGCAUAACUGCAGGUUAGUGGGUGUUCAGAAUUUAUAUUCUAUUAACUGUUGAUUAAUUGUUUUCAGGGUUAGAUUAUGGGAGCCUUAAUUGGUACGAGUGUUUGAGAAUACAUGAAUUGA
Long non-coding RNA from Manihot esculenta (cassava), 295 nucleotides. RefSeq lists it as uncharacterized. The record is from RefSeq and is a predicted model, not a curated record. NCBI's taxonomy places the organism in Eukaryota, Viridiplantae, Streptophyta, Magnoliopsida, Malpighiales, Euphorbiaceae. The transcript is spliced from 2 exons.